Long non-coding RNA from Sinocyclocheilus anshuiensis, 1570 nucleotides. Lineage: Eukaryota; Metazoa; Chordata; Actinopteri; Cypriniformes; Cyprinidae. The record is from Ensembl.
AAACACACCUCUAAUAACACAUUGUUGCAUUAUUUUUAGGACAUUACAGGAAGCAACAGAUUUGCAAAACGUUGCAAUGCAAUUAUUUCAAAUGCCCUGCUGGACAAGCAUGGAGAGCUCAAUGUGUACCAAUGCAAAGGGCUUAUCGAUCACCUCAAGAAAUACAUUCUACCAUUUGCUGGAUUAUGGACCGGGAUAAUGCUAGGUGACCUUGGACGACAUGGGACAGGACCACAAUAUGAGCAGUGCUCCAGGAGAUACAAUGCCCUGAGAAACCUUACAAGACAAGUAAUUAUAUAGUUUGUACCAUAACAGUAAAUUGUGUCUGAACUCUUAUUUUGUUGUACUGCUAAAUUAUGUCAGGAAUUCACCUGUCUUUGUAUCCUUUGUCAGAACAUUACACAGGACAAUAAAACUCAAGGAAUAAUGGAAAAGAGCCAGUGGUACUUAAAACAUAUUCGUUUUACUUCUGGCUGGCUCACCAGGCUUGAUGACUUUGUAGCCCAGUAUCAGAUUAGCCACACUGCACUCCUGAAGGAGUAUAAAGACUCCGAAAGGGUUUUCCGAAGGAAGGUUCGAAUAUUUUAAGAAACGUGUCAUUAAAGAUACUUACAGAAAAAGAGUAGAACAAGAAAGAUGGAAAGAAAAGCAACAGAAAAAACGGGGAAGAUAUGUCACACCAAGCAAGCCUUUCCUUUUCAAGACAUCAAACAAGAAGUCUUCAGUGUCUGAGGGUCCCGUUGCUAAACAAAGCUCGCCACCACAGCCAAGGUCAUCCCUGGAGGGGGACCAUGAAGACAUUGUGGAUGAAAAGGCUGUACAUGGGGAGAUCUCAAACAAACCUAAGGCAACAGUAAAGACAACAGCAACCCAACAGCAUCAUCUCACCUCUUUGUGGAAAAGGAGAGACACUGAGUUUGUGGUUUCUGUGAUCCCUACACAAACCAAAGGAACAUCAAUUGUCAUUCGUCACAGUGAGCUGCGUACACUUCAGCCACACCAGUGGCUAACUGGCGAGAUAAUUGAAGCCCUGUUUCAUAUUGCUGCCAAUGAGCUAGAGAUGGGGAAUUCCAUUUACAUUCUUGAUCACUACACAGCAGGUGUGAUUCUGUUUGGGGAAAGACCUCAGCUUGCCCGGCAAAGUUUGUCAAAGAUUAACUUUGACAAUUACCAGGGAAUUGUUUCUUUUGUGAACACUGACAAUGUCCAUUGGAAGUUUCUGUGCAUAAAUGCGGUCAACCACACUGUGUACCUGGCAGAUCCUUCAAAAAGUUCUACAGAGGAAGAUGACUCAAUUCAUGCUGCCAAAAAAUUCAGAUCCAAUGUGACACAUGUGAAAGGUGGUACCAUGAAGAGUGCCUGGGUAUGGCCGAAGAAGGCCUGGAACAGGCCAGAGCUAACAACUGGAACUGCAUAUUGUGCUCUUAAAUCCUUUCAUUAAAACAAAUUUUUUCUUUUUUUUUUUUUUUGGUUGAAGUAUGUAAUUGUUCUUUUAAAUUAUUGUUGAUAGUUGUAAAUUGUAAAUUAUAAAUCAUUUGAUUAAAUUGAGAAUAAACUUUUGUGAAAAAUG